This 355-nucleotide long non-coding RNA is filed under the name Ananas comosus (pineapple). RNAcentral describes it as "long non-coding RNA (ACOM_LNC000263)". Lineage: Eukaryota; Viridiplantae; Streptophyta; Magnoliopsida; Poales; Bromeliaceae. The record is from RNAcentral.
AUUAUAACGCGUGUGAGUUGUAGAGUUAGUACGGGCCUGUUUGGCCUAAAUCCUGAAAAAAUAAUUUAUACAAAAUUGAUUUUGGUUUGGAAAAAUGAUUUGAGCUAAAAACUAUAGAACGUUUGGCCGAAUUUAGAUAAAAAUAAUUUUUCUAAAGUGAUUUUGUAAAAUUAUUUGGCAAAAAUAUUUUGAUGUUAACAUAUAGUAAUAUUUUUACUAACUUUUAUUUUAAAAUAAUUAAAAAUUUGAAUUAAAAUGUAAAAUUUGUGCAAAAUUUAUAAUUUAAUAUUUAAUUUAAAAAAUAAAUUUGAAAUUAAAAAUUAAAAAUUUACAAUUUGAAUUUUAAAGUUAAGUA